UACAGAGGGUGCAAGCGUUAAUCGGAAUUACUGGGCGUAAAGCGCGCGUAGGUGGUUUGUUAAGUUGGAUGUGAAAUCCCCGGGCUCAACCUGGGAACUGCAUUCAAAACUGACAAGCUAGAGUAUGGUAGAGGGUGGUGGAAUUUCCUGUGUAGCGGUGAAAUGCGUAGAUAUAGGAAGGAACACCAGUGGCGAAGGCGACCACCUGGACUGAUACUGACACUGAGGUGCUAAAGCGUGGGGAGCAAACAGG
RNAcentral lists this ribosomal RNA (253 nucleotides) under uncultured bacterium. RNAcentral describes it as "partial 16S ribosomal RNA". It matches the Rfam family "Bacterial small subunit ribosomal RNA", at positions 524 to 776 of the family's 1533-position model. The record is from RNAcentral.